AAUGUAACCUUUCAAUUUUAUUUAAAUCUUAUGUGCAGAAAAUCUUAGUUCUUGUGAUUAUUAUUUCUCCCCUUUUCCCACAUUUUCAUUCUGAAACGUUUCAGACCUACUUGCAAGUACAGUCCCAAGAGCACUUGUGCAACCAGUAAGAAGAUGACCAUCUGUGGACAAGGAAGCAUGCCCUCAGCAGGCAAGGGUUGGACUGCCUGGCCUCCAGAACUAUGAGAAAUAUGUGUUAUUAAAGCUCCCUGGUCCACAGUAUUUUUGUCACAGUUGCCUGAAUGGACCACGAAACUACCUGCUGGAAGACGAUGGAGUUGCCACGAUUUUGCGGGAAGAGGAGUAGCUCUACCUGCAUUGCUGCUUUUCUUGCCUAGGCUCUAGGAUAUAUCUGAGCUUCACUCCCCACAACAUACCCAAAGGAACAGAGAGAACCGGGACAUCCCUGCAGAGACCCAGAACUGAUCUGACAGAAUGGCAUCUGAUGACUUUGAUGUAGUGAUUGAGGUCAUGCUGGAAGCUCCCUAUAGAAAAGAAGAGGAUGAGCAACAAAGGAAAGAAGUCAGGAUUAUCCCAGCAAUACCACCAGCAGCACCAGCCACAGUGGCAAUGGGACAGUGGAAGCAGCACCAUCAGGGAGAUAAGCAAGCAAGAGGACCCCUGAUUUGGAAACACCAGAUGCCUGGCAGCUUUCAGGGCUGAAGAAGGGGAGUCGGAGCCAUAGUAGAAGCAGGGAUAGAAAGUGCAGUCGUAGUCGAGACCAGGAUCAGCAUAGACACAGAGACAGUCAGAGUCAAGGUCGAGAUCAGCAGCAUCGUCACCGUGCCGUAGCUGGGGUCGUCGACAUAGUGAGCCGCGAAGUCGCGACCGUCGCCGUGAGGAUCGUGUGUGCUACAGGAGUCCUCCACUUGCCACUGGCCAUAGGUGUGGACACAGUAAGAGUCCUCACUUCAGAGAGAAGAGCCCAGUCAGGGCGCCAACUGAUAACCCGAGUCCUGAGGAGCGUGAUGCCCGCACAGUUUUCUGUACGCAAUUAGCCGCCCGCAUGAGGCCUCCAGACCUGGAGGACUUUUUCUCUGCUGUAGGCCAGGUUCGUGAUGUACGUGUCGUCUCAGAUCGGAACUCAUGCCCUCCUAAGGGCAUUGCCUAUGUGGAAUUCUGUGAAAUCCAGGCUGUGCCACUGGCCAUUGGGCUAACUGAGCAACGGUUGCUGGGAGUGCCUAUCAUGGUACAGGCUUCACAGGCAGAGGAAAACCGACUGGCAACCAUGGCCAACAACCUGCAAAAGGGCACUGGUGGACCAGUACGCCUCUACGUGGGUUCCCUGCACUUCAGUAUCACUGAAGACAUGCUCCCAGGCAUCUUUGAGUCCUUUGGUAAAAUUGAUAAUAUUGUCCUGAUGAAAGACUCAGAUACAGGCUGCUCUAAAGGUUAUGGUUUCAUCACGUUCUCUGACUCUGAGUGUGUCCGGCGGGCCCUGCAACAGUUGAAUGGCUUUGAACUUGCUGGUCGACCUAUGAGGGUUGGCCAUGUGACUGAGCGACUGGAUGGUGGCACAGACAUCACUUUCCCUCAUGGGGACCAGGAGCUGGAUCUGGGAUCAGCAGGUUUGCAGCUUAUGGCCAAACUGGCAGAAGGCUGUGGAAUCCAACUGCCAACUGCCACUGCUGCUGCCGCUGCUGCUGCCACCACCCACGCUGCUGCCGCCACCCAAGCUGCUGCCUCGCAACUGAAUGGAGCAGUUCCCGUGGGCGCCUGAACCCAGCAGCUCUGAUUGCUCUGAGUCCAGCCCUGAACCUUGCCUCCCAGUGCUUCCAGCUCUCCAGCCUCUUUACCCCCCAGACCAUGUAAAUUGGUGGCACGGUGGACUGCCUCCCUGUACCUCUGGGUCCUGCUACUUCACAUCUACUCUUCCAUGGCCCCAUCUCUCCAUUUUGUGGACCAAGCCAUCCUGAGGGCAUGGACAUUGUCUCUGAGGGAAUUGGGACCACCCUUAAGACACCAAGAAGAGCUCCUGCUCAUGGCCCCACUGGAAACGGACUCUGCUGAGCAAAGCGCUCAGUUGAAGAAAGCAGAGUCUACACCUGCAUUGAGUACCUGUUUCUCCUUGUGUAUUGUCUCUGAGAUGACCUUCUUGCCCUUUCCUACACCUUAAUGAUUCCUCAAUUCCUCCCCCAUUGGGAAGGCCGUAGGGCAUUAACUGAAGGCACUGACCUCUCUCCUUUUCCUGUACCUUCAUCCUUCUUUCUGUCAAGGAAGACCCUUAGGACCUGUGAAUCAAGAGAACUGAGUUUGUGGGGUGAGCCUUGAAGGUGCUCUUUUUCUGCUAUUAGGGCCCUGGAAGAUAGCAUGGAUUCGUGCAUUGAGAAGCCAACCUCAGACCUCAGCUUGAUGCAGCUUGAGGCCAGACCUACUGUAGACUCAGCAUCUUGCUAGGAGGCAUGGGAGUGAUCUAUCCUGCCAGGCAUUUAGGGGCUUUCAGGAAUUUAGUAAGAGGUGGAGUGUACCUUUCCAGUGUCUUCUAUCUUCCUUUGAAUACUUGUCCUUCCUCCCACGUCCUCCCUUUGGCCCAGGGUGGGAGGAUGGAGGGAGGCUGCUGCUCUCUACCACUUCCUGUGUGCCUCUACUGUGGCCUCAACCCUGGCAGCUAAAGCUGCUCCCAUUUCCCACCUGGGCGUGUGUGAGCCCCUCUCACUGGAUUUUAUCCCCUUGUGUCUGUGUACAUAAAUACGUGUGUGUGUGUAUGUGUGUGUGUGUGUGUAUAUAUAUAUAAACUUUGUACAAAAGGCAAGCCUCCUCCUUGUGGCAGCUGUGGCCUAUUUAUGUGUGGUCUCUGUUGUGUGUCUGUCUGACAACUUCUUAUGAGCCCAAACCAUGAUGUUUCUAGGGAUUAUAAAAGAUUAGUAACA
Molecule: RNA transcript, 2909 nt
Organism: Sapajus apella (tufted capuchin)
Lineage: Eukaryota; Metazoa; Chordata; Mammalia; Primates; Cebidae
Gene name: probable RNA-binding protein 23
Exons: 2
Source: RefSeq, a predicted model, not a curated record